GAGCUGUCAUGGCAUUUGUCGGGAACGUUAAUACUUCGGUAAAUUCGCUACGGCCACUACUUACAGUUUGAGGUGUCCGGUUCGAUCCUCGCGGUCGGCAUUUCACAGCUACGAGAAAUCUGGCUCGUGGAUGCCAGCAAUGAACAGUGUUUCCACUGAAGGGUAGAAAUACAGCACAGUUCACUGUCCGUGGGGAGGCGAACGGGGUCGCAUCUUGCUGGUUUCCGUCAGGAUGGGGUAGUCGUCGUGGUGAAUUAGUUGAUUGUGACUGACAACUU
This 278-nucleotide signal recognition particle RNA is filed under the name Ogataea parapolymorpha DL-1. RNAcentral describes it as "Fungal signal recognition particle RNA". It matches the Rfam family "Fungal signal recognition particle RNA". Lineage: Eukaryota; Fungi; Ascomycota; Pichiomycetes; Pichiales; Pichiaceae. The record is from Rfam by way of RNAcentral.